AGCAUAGGAAGUGAGGAUUGAGGAAGUUAUUGGGUUUACUUCAUUUGAGCAAAACAAUUAAUGCUGCUGUGUUGCUUUCAUUCUAAGGCUCGAGGGGUCGCGUCGAGAACGAGUUCAAUAUGGACCGGGCUCGAGCCCGAUGGCAGAAUACGAAACUCGAAGAUCGAAGUGCUCGAUGAACACUGGGGCCGAGUAUGACCAACUUCGAGAUAAUACCGUUAUGAUUUUAUAACAGAAAGAGCGAGAUUCCCGCGGUGGUCCUAAGAUAACGGCGUAAAUUCCGGAAGGUAUUUGUACUAGGCAGUUAGACAAUUGUAUAAUAAGAUUCCCUACUACAAUUAGAAUUGUACCUUAUUUAGGAUUCCCCUACUAUAUAAAGGGGACCCCACUCAUUUGUAACGGAGAAUCAUUGACUGAGAAGAGAAUAUACAUUUCCAAUUUCUUGA
Nicotiana attenuata is the source of this 446-nucleotide long non-coding RNA. RefSeq lists it as uncharacterized. The transcript is spliced from 2 exons. The record is from RefSeq and is a predicted model, not a curated record. Lineage: Eukaryota; Viridiplantae; Streptophyta; Magnoliopsida; Solanales; Solanaceae.